RNAcentral lists this unclassified non-coding RNA (352 nucleotides) under soil metagenome. RNAcentral's name for it is "partial contains 5.8S ribosomal RNA, internal transcribed spacer 2, and large subunit ribosomal RNA". The stretch from base 1 to 120 matches the Rfam family "5.8S ribosomal RNA", at positions 35 to 154 of the family's 154-position model. The record is from RNAcentral.
GAUGAAGAACGUAGUGAAAUGCGAUAAGUAAUGUGAAUUGCAGAAUUCCGUGAAUCAUCGAAUCUUUGAACGCACAUUGCGCCCGCCAGUAUUCUGGCGGGCAUGCCUGUUCGAGCGUCAUUACAACCCUCAGGCCCCCGGGCCUGGCGUUGGGGAUCGGCGGAAGCCCCCUGUGGGCACACGCCGUCCCUCAAAUACAGUGGCGGUCCCGCCGCAGCUUCCAUUGCGUAGUAGCUAACACCUCGCAACUGGAGAGCGGCGCGGCCAUGCCGUAAAACACCCAACUUCUGAAUGUUGACCUCGAAUCAGGUAGGAAUACCCGCUGAACUUAAGCAUAUCAAUAAGCGAAGGA